RNAcentral lists this ribosomal RNA (253 nucleotides) under uncultured bacterium. RNAcentral describes it as "partial 16S ribosomal RNA". It matches the Rfam family "Bacterial small subunit ribosomal RNA", at positions 524 to 776 of the family's 1533-position model. The record is from RNAcentral.
UACGGAGGAUCCAAGCGUUAUCCGGAAUCAUUGGGUUUAAAGGGUCCGUAGGCGGUUAUGUAAGUCAGUGGUGAAAGCCCAUCGCUCAACGAUGGAACGGCCAUUGAUACUGCAUGACUUGAAUUAUUGGGAAGUAACUAGAAUAUGUAGUGUAGCGGUGAAAUGCUUAGAUAUUACAUGGAAUACCAAUUGCGAAGGCAGGUUACUAUCAAUAUAUUGACGCUGAUGGACGAAAGCGUGGGGAGCGAACAGG